This 606-nucleotide long non-coding RNA is filed under the name Marmota monax (woodchuck). Lineage: Eukaryota; Metazoa; Chordata; Mammalia; Rodentia; Sciuridae. The record is from RNAcentral.
CAAAAGGCACCCAGAGAGAGGUGGUAAAAUCUUUUAUUAUCAGAAUUUGAUAAAACCAACAUCUGCAGAAACUGAAGGAGGGUGAGGACAACGGCUCUUGGGGGAGAGCAUAGCAGUGUCACUGUGCUGACCACACCUUUCCUUUCAAAGUUAUCUUGGGGGCUGUUUAUUUGAAGUUUUGUGUCAGUAGGGGGCUAGCAGGAAACAGAUGGCCCAGUCAAACUGGGUGAUGGAGGAAGUUUAAGAAAGGGACCGUUUGCAGAGACAUGGGCUGGGUUCAGGGAAACCAGGAGACUGCAGGCGUGGUGGUGGGUGAGGGGCCGUCACCACCUCUGGGCCUGGAAAGCAAGGAGGCGGGGAGGCUGGACCCCAGAGGCAGCUGCAGGAAGAGGGCCACGUGGCAGGCACUGUAGCUUUCCCAGCCCUGCACGGGGCCAUGCAGCCAGCCUGCCCCUCUGGAGGUGUGCCCAGGAGGAUUUGAUUUACCCCCCAAUUCUUCCUCAAAUGUGUCCCAGUUUGGACAGUAAAUAGUUAGAUCAUCCAGGCAAGGGCACCCGUUAGCCCAGUCCACUUGGAACAGUCUCAGGAGAAAGAAAGCAAAGCAGA